Molecule: long non-coding RNA, 451 nt
Organism: Aegilops tauschii subsp. strangulata
Lineage: Eukaryota; Viridiplantae; Streptophyta; Magnoliopsida; Poales; Poaceae
Source: RefSeq, a predicted model, not a curated record
UUGAAUGUUGCCUGCGAUAUGUUGUAUAUCCCAGUCAUACUUUAGAAUGGCAUUUAGUUCUCGGUUAAAAUUGGAGGACAUUAAUUACAUAUUAAUGGGAUAUAUAUUUCUGUCUCACCAUAAAAGCGCCAUCAAAGAGAAUAUUUGCAUCAAAGCGUAGGACGCAUAAACAAGAGUGGAAAAAAGCAAGAGAAGACUUGCUAACUCGCCAUGGUGCUUACCAAGAGGAACGCAUGGGUCGUAUGCUUGGUAGUGCUUGUGGUCAUGGCUACAACCCUGCCCUUGUCGGCUGCAAAAGAGAAGAGGUGCUAUGAUAUGAUAGAUUGCUAUGAUCAGCGUUGUCGUGAAUAUUGUUUUGCAGCCGGUAUCGGUGAAACAGGACACUGCAGAUUUACUGUAGAAUGUUGUUGUAACGUUUAGAAGAUAGCUCAAAAUGCUUAUUCUGCCAGGA